This is a long non-coding RNA of Vespula pensylvanica (western yellowjacket), 1349 nucleotides long. RefSeq lists it as uncharacterized. The transcript has 3 exons. The record is from RefSeq and is a predicted model, not a curated record. Lineage: Eukaryota; Metazoa; Arthropoda; Insecta; Hymenoptera; Vespidae.
GAGAAGAACAGAUUUUAACUUUACUUACGUUUCGAAUACUACAAUAAUAUCUGCUAAUGAGUAAUCUAUCUCGAAAGGGAUAAGAUUGUUAAAUAUGUUAAGAUACAAGGUGGAAGGCAGAUUUUGAUCUCAGUUAUGUGAAAUAUAUAAUGAAAUAACUCGCUAACAGGAUUCCUAAAAAUAGAAGAAUAAAUUACCUUUGUAUAAAUAAACAAAAUUAAAGCAUAAAUAUUACUUAAGAUAAGACGUUACAUCAUAUUUCAGAUCAAUCAACUAUUAUUUUUAGAUAUAUAGAUACAGAUAAGUUUUUAUUGCACGCGUUUUAUUUUUUACGAUACAUAUUUAUUUGUCUCAAAACUCAUAUCUUGUUUUUUCAAUGUCUUCACUGAGACGUCCAUGUGCAGUCUUAUUUUGUAACUUGUUAAGAAGCGAAAAACAAAUUUUAACUUCUGUUAUGUUGUAGUCACCGGAACCAUUUCUUAUUGAUAACACUUCUAAAAGUUGGAAAUAACAUUGCCUUCGGAUAAAUGAAAGACAUUUAAAAAGUAUGAAAUUGAAAUAUCAUAUCUAAGACAUAUUUCACACGCAAACUACAGCUAUUUGUAAAGAUUGUUGGCAUACCAACGUGCAAGAAAUUGCGAACGGCAAAAGUACAGGAGGCGCGAUGGUGGCGUGAGUUUGUGGACAGGAUCCAGCAGGAGCGAUAUCUCGAAGAGUGGGACGAGGACGUGUGGGAUGGUACCGUGGAGCGGUACCUGCAAAGAAGGUGGGACACCAAGGGCCAGGCAGUUAGCGGCAGACGGUCAAAAACUUGCCGAACCGGCUGCCACCAUGAGAGAAAAAGAGAGAGAAAUAGUGGCUGCCCGAGGGAACUGCUGACAAUACGAUUUAUUACGGAGGACCACCUGCUCGCGGAAAUCUCAAUCGGACCGCUUUUGCUGCUAUAACAUCGAGGGCAAAUAGCAAAUGGCGCUACCGGACUCUAUUCUUUCUUUCUUCCCACGGAUCUUCAUUAAAUCGUCGAUUCGUGGUUGGACCCUUAAUCUUUGAGAAUAUUCUCAGGAUAUCAUUCUUUUCUUUCAAAUUUUACAUUGUGAGAAACACUUUAAGAAUAUUUUAACUUCGAUAAAAGGAAUAUAAAUUACGAAAAAGAGAAAUAAAAAUGUAACAACUGUCUAUAUUUCAUCGCUUACGAUUGAAGAUUAAUAAUAAAGAAAUUAAAAAAUUAAACUAUUCACAACGGAAUAACAUUACAUCAUUUAGAUCAAAGAUUGGUCUUUUAGUUUUUGAGAAUCCUUUCUGGAGAGAAAAAUGUUUUUCGUUUGAAAUUUUACACUAUGACAGACACU